UAAUACAUAUUGUUUUGAUAACUCAUUUUGUGCUUAUGGAGUAUAUGCAAGAUUUAGAAGCAUUUUAAGGUGUCUUUUUGGUCAAGCAUCAUUGAGUUUCUCUAUUAUACCAAACAUACAAGUCUCUGCCAAAGCUUGAUCACCUGUUUUUUUGAUGUGUUUACUGUUUACUGUUUACUGUUUGAUCCCUUUGAUUCUGCUGCUCUUGCUAUUUUUUGGGUGCUUCAGUUAUUGCUUUUCCUUUUGUUGCUGGCCCGUCAUCAAUUAGAGAUUUGCAUGGUUUGCUGUGCUGUCCUUCGCAUGUAUUUUUGGUCUGGUGUGGUUAGCUAUAUAGUUUGUUCUGAUUAUGCCUGAGUUAUUAUUAUGUUAACUAUGCUGCCCCUGUUCUCUUUCUAUUUUUAAAUUUGUGUGUUCAAUGAGUGAAGACACCUAGAUUGGCGUGCUUUAGUUUACAUGAUCAUGUCGUUGCUGAAAAUCUAUAUGAUAUAGUUGUGCUGCCUCUGUUGUUCAUGCAGGUUUCAAUUGUUUUUGGAUUUGAUUUUGUCAUGUCUCAUUUUAUUUCUCAAUUAGUCUUUCACAAAAAAAAAAAAAAAAAGGAGUGAUGCCUGAUGCUGUUCUCCUCUCUAGCGAGUUAUGAAUGUUGGGUACAGGAAUUUGGAUAUGCAAGAAAGAAGAGACUGGGUGGGUUAUCUGCUACUAUAUAAAUCACCCCACCUUAUUACAUUUUUGUAUCUUCAGCUUUUCUGCUUUAAUCUUGUUUCUCUGUUUGUCUUUUUUCACCGGAGACGGUUGUUUCUUUCGUCAUUGGAGGAUCUUAGAUUUUAAGGUAAACCUUUUUAUUUAUUUCCUUUUUGCACUCUUUUCCUUUUUUUUUUUUUUUUUUUUCUUCUUCUUCUUCAAAUGAGUACUCCUAUCUUGAAUUUGGGUCAAGACACUAUGGAGGACUCUUUUGACUUGGCUACCCCUCCUCAGAAGGUGUUAAUGGCAGGAGAAUGGACUUCUCGGCAACCUGGCGAGUAGCCGGAGGCCAUAACGCAAACUCCUGGAGAGGAAAGGCCGGCUGUAGCUAUCAUCUCUUCGAGUCAAUCUGGGGCCGGGGAUAAGGGUCCCUAACACAGUCGCAAAAGAAGACAAUCAAUAGAGGGGGAAGAGCACCAUCUUCCUUCUUACAUGCUCGCCCAUAGGCCGAAAGGGCACAUGAGGGCAGAUGACAUUCUUUUGCAUGGGAACUCUAUCAUGAUUUAUGAGGAGCAACACAAAACGGGUGUGCAAUUUCCUUAAGAUCUGUUCUUCGUUGAGGUCUUGUAGUACUAUAAUAUCUUUGUUUCCCAGCUCCACCCCAAUAGCUGGUGGGCGUUGGUUGUGUUCCUUAUUGCCAAGAGAAGAACCUGGUUGCUUCGGCGAAAGCAAGUUCUUUUCGCGUGAAAACGCAGACUUCUAUUACUUUACUGGUAAAGGCAGGUUCCCUUUGUUCGCUGGACUUCCGUCUUCUCUAAAGUGGUGAAAGGAUCGGUUUUUCGUGCCGACUCUGGAAGAAGGAAGAGAUGGAACGUUUCUUGUUACAUUGGACACUCAGGCCCAUUUGUUUGGUAGGCCCAUCUAAAGUAAGAAUGACUAUACCUACCGUCAAAGAGCUUUGAGAAGGGCUUACCCUCAUGUUUGGUGGGCUUGGGCGUCCAAUGCAACGAGAAACAUUCCCAUCCCUGUUCCUCUUCUGGAGUUAGUACGAAGAAUCGAUCCUUCCACCACUUUAGAGAAUACGGAAGUUCGGUGAACAAAGGGAACCCGCCUUUAAAGAUAAAGUAACUGAAGUUUGCGUUUUCACGCAAAAAGAACUUGUGAAAGUGCUGAAGCGCUUUCGUUGUAGCAACCAAGUUCUUAUCUCGGCAGAGAAUGAGGAACGCAAAAUGUCCGCCGGCUAUUGGGGCGGAGCUAAGACUGUAGGACCUUAACGAAGAACGGAUCCAACGGAAACUGGACACUCGCCUUGAGUUGCUCCUUAUAGAUCAUGAUAGAGUUCCUACGUGAAAGAAUUUCAUUCGCCCUCACGUGCCCUUUUAGCCUAUGAUCGAGCAUAUAAGAAGGAAGAUGGUGCUCCUCUAGAAUCCCUUCAUUGAUUGUCUUUCUUUUCAACUGUACUGGGGACCUUUAUCCCUAGCCCCAUAUUGGCCUGAAGGGUUGAUAGCUACGGCCCUCCCUCUCCAGCAACUUGCGCUACGGCCUCCAGCUGCUCAGCAGGCUGCCGAGAAGUUCCUUCUCCGGCCAUUAACACCUCCUGAGGAGGGAUAGCCAAGUCAAAAGAGACCUCCGUAGUGUCCUGACCCAGAUUUGGGGUAGGAGUACACAUUGGACGAAGGAGGAGGAGGAAAGGAGAGGAAAAUAGAAAUAAAUAAAAAGGUUUACCUUAAGAUCUGAAACCCUUUGGUGAUGAAAAAAACAACCUUUUCGGGCGAAAAAAGGCAAAACAGAAAAAUAAAAUUAAAGAAGAAAAGCUAAAGAUACAAAAAUGUAAUAAGGUGGGGUGUUUUAUAUAUAUAGUAGCAGAAACCAUAAAUGCAAAAACUCCUCGAAAUGCCAAACAUGGCGCUUGGAGCAUCGUGCUGACGUGAUUUAUACAUGGCUCUCCAAGCGGCAAGACAUUUCAAAACUUUUUAAAUUUCUCCUCUCAUUUGAUGACGCCUAAGCAACAAAUAAAGAAAUUGAUCAACACAAAAUAACAAAUAUCGCUGAGCCUAAAGACUCGGAUAUUCAUAGGGGAACUAAUGAUAUUACAAUAACUAAAAUAAUAAGGGCUAAGUAACAGAUAACCGAGCAACGGGUAACCCUGAUACCCGAACACUCUCGAAGAAGGAAGUUACUCGCCCAAUUAUGCUAGCGAUACUCGGAUCACUCUUGAAGAUAAGGAUCUCGAGGUAUCUGCCUUAAUUGGAAUCCAAUUCGUACAAGGAGUUGAUCAACAAAGCAGACUCCUAACUCUACUCAACUGCAGAACUCAUAAUUCUAAUAGGAGACGACAUCAAAGGCCUAUUUAAAGGCCAUCAAGUAUGCAUAGUAACCAGUUUUUACCCUCUCAUUCUAUUGUCUAGUUCUUACUACUGACUUAGGCAUUGGAGCGGUGGUUAUAUAAUCCAACCGGUGCUUUUCUUUCUUACAGAUCUAAUUCCUGUACCCAACAUCCAUAACCUGCUAGAGAGGAGAAAACAGCAUCACUGCCAUUGCAUGUUUUUAUGAAAUAAAUGACAUUGUAGAAAAAAGAUCAAGCUCCUAUUCUAUAUUUCUCUAACUAUAGAUCAGUUCAUUGUUGUGAUCAAGCAAAUACCAUUCUUUGAUAUACAAAUGAUGAAGUGACUGAAAACCGAAAACCCAUGUGCAAUUUCAAGAAUUCAAGUCCAUAUUUAAUGAGCGGAAGAGAUGAAAAGAAAAAAAGGUUGAUUGGUGUAGCGGUAGGCUGAAAAUAUAAGAACUCCUAAAAAUAGCAUGCAUUAGUUCCGCUACUUUUUGCCUUUAUAUAUCUUUAACUAGCUUAUUUGGAUCUUCCAAUUCUAUUAGAACCACAAGAGAUGAUAUUGGAUAGCUUCUUGAUCCCACUUCCAAAAGGAUCUCAUUGCCACACACGCAGUUCUAUAUGAAAACUCUACAUUAUUUAAGAUUAUGGAAAUUGUCCUUUGGUUUAUUAUUAUUAUUAUUAUUAUUAUUAUUAUUAUUAUUAUUAUUAUUAAUGUAGGACAAUGAGUGAAACAGUGGAGUUUAUUUGGAUUAGUCUUGCACCAAAUGGUGAACAUGGCUUACCAAACCUGGAUGAAUUGUGCCAGUGAAAUUUAUGCUAUGACAUGAAUUUUCUGAUGGUGUUUUUCAGAUGGUGUUUAUGGAAUUUCCACUAUUCUUUUGCCUUUUCUUCGAUUUUCUAUUUUUUGUAAAAUAAUGAAGACGGGUAAUGUUGCCACUAUUCAUUUACUUCUAGGUUUUUCAGUGAUUUGUUGAUGAGUUAGCUCCUUGACCCACAUUGUUUGUGUUUAUUGUUAUUGUAUUAGUUUCUAUUUUACUUGCUCUUUUGUUUACAUUGAAAUUGGUAUUUUGAUCAUCUGUUGAUAUUUCUUUCCAAGUACUGCAAUUUUUCUAUGUGACACCUUCCAUGUGUUUCCUGUUCACCUUUCCUCUCAAAUAGCGAGGUGUAAAAAGUGAGAAACUAAGGUGCCUUUGUCUUUGCAUUUGAUUCACCAAAUACAUUAUAUUUUCUGUUUUUAUUUGCAUGAAAUGACUAAAGUAUGUUGAUUAUGGAAUUACAGUCAUAUAUUAUGACUCAGUUUUUAUCCAUUAUUCAUUUUAUUUCCUAUGCAGUAGAAUUUUUAUAUGAUAAGAAGAGACAAGAACAGAAUAUUUUUUAGGGUUUUAAAGAUUGAUCGGUUAGAACCAUCUGAACUAUAUAGUCUUGAAGAUUCUACAACCUACUCAGAAAGUGAAUGUUGUGACUUGCUAAGGUGAAUACAUGAAGGGAAUAAAUCAACUGGCAGACUUAAAUUUGUAACUACUUGCUAUAGAAUAGUUGGUCUGUAUACGAUAUUGUUCUAUCUAAUCUCUUGCAUCCAUUUCAUUAUAGAGCUCAUGAAUUCUUCUUUGGUCAAUUUUGGUUUCAUUAAAUUUUUGGGACCCUAUUACGUGUUGCUGAUAACAAAGAGAAGGAAAAUUGGUGCGAUUUAUUGUGAUACAGUAUAUGCCAUCGCCAAGAGCGAGAUGAUUCCUAUUUCAAAUUCUUCUGUGCUGUUCAAUAUGACAUUCUAAGAACGAAAACAGAUCUUCUGUCCAUUCUGCAUGCAAAUGUAAUAUGUACUUUGUACUUCUAAAGAGACUUAUAAGUUGUCAAAAUUGUGCACUUUUCAUUUGCAAUUAGAUGAGCAUUUUAUCAUGGUUGUUUUAUUUUCUUUCAUUAAUUUUUGGGACAAAUAGUCUUGAGUUGGGCAUCGUCUAUUAUUGGGUAAGUUCAACACUCUGCUUUGGGCUUCAUCGGGUCCGCAUUCUGUCUUGAGCUGGUCUGCAGAGGUGCUCGCCAGGUCCAAGCCUUGACCUUUGUCUCACUUCUUCUUGGUCUCACAAACUCACUGCCCAUGCAGUUCAAAGCAUCCAAGGUCUUAUCUUUAUUUUAUUUUCUUUGAUUAAUUCAUGUUACAUCUGCUAAAUCGGUGUAUAUUCCGUAUCUGCUUUGUAUCUAAUCCCUUACCCCUCUCAAAAUUGAUUUUCUUCUAUUUCACUAUUAAAUUUAACAGAAGUUUUGAUGAUUGGAAAGUAUAAUUAUCAUUAAAAUGGGUAAGGCAAAUGUGACAUUAAUUCUAAAAAAAAUUAUGGCUUCAUAAUUAUCUCCUGCGGAUAGGCUGUAAUGAUCUUCAUAAGUUGCCUACAAUAUGUUGGCAUAAUUGCCUAGGUGGGGUUGAUGAUGCCUGCUGAGUUGUGUAGAAUUCAUUUUCUGUUUUGUUUUACUAGAUUAAUGAUAUUCUCUUUGGUUAUUGUGAUUCAACAAGCAAUCGAUGUUUCACGAUCAAGGGUGUAGUAUUAUUUGUAGUAGUGGUCUUUCAUCUCAAAAGAAUUCUCGAUUUGAAAACACAGAGACAAAGGACUGAUCUUUGAUCUUUGAAUAGGAAAAAAAGGAAAAAAGAAAGAGUGAGGAAAAGGAUAUAUGAAGGGAUCUAAGUUGUUCCAUUUAUUAAAUGAAGGGCAAUUAAUGUCCUUCUUCCUACACAAAAGGCAACUGAAAUUCCCUUCAACCGGGAACAAGAUUGUCUUCCUUAGAAGCAAAAGCAAAAAGUUUGAUUUAAGGGACUCAUUUGCUGCUCUGCGCCUUUGCCUGUGGUGUAACAAUUAAAAAGCACAAGAUCUGCUUUCUAAAGCCAUUUAAAGUCUUCAUUAAUCCACAAUUUAUUGUCUGGUAAUCAUGCUUUACUGGUUUUUAGUUUAACUGCGAAAGAAAAUCAUAUUAUUAAAAUAUAUUAUUUUUGUUAUUAUACUAUCUCACUCUUAUGUACAUAGACAGAUUUGUGUCUUUUAAUGUUCUUAACAGGGAGAAACUAACUACUGGGUGGUGUUUCCUCAAUGCUUAUUGCAUCAUAAGAACUUGACCUCUUUCAAUUUGUUGUAUCUUUGGAUUAAGGCUUAUUGUUCAACUGAUGUUUGUAGAUUUUGCGGAGUUUGCUUACAUUUCUUUAUUGUGAUUGCAGUAUAUAUAAAAUAUGAAGAAAUCAGCCUCUAAAUGUGGAAGACUUUUGCUAUAUAACUGAUAAUAUACACCAAAGAAGAGGAAGGAACAUCAGCAUGUCAAUAGGGAAAGUUCUAUUGUCAAAAUACUGGGCAUCUUCCUGUUUCUUUACCUUCCUCAAGGGUGAAUGGUAUCUGUGGUAUGACUGAUUGUAUAAUUGUGAAUCUGUUCUGAUUUUGUGAUUAAACUUCUCCAGGUUUGUUCCAGUUGAUUCUCUCACCUAUGCUCUUCUUUCUACAUUUUUCUCAUUUUGUGAUUAAACUUGGUCAUAUUGCUAAAAGCAUCCUUACAUGAAAACUAAGAAUAUAACUGCAAGGAAAAGUGAUUUGCUUCAACUUGAAUUUAGGAAAAAUGCAGCUUAAUUCUAACAUCUAUUCUUAGUAAUAUAAUAUUUAAGUUAUUGUGUUGUUCUA
Long non-coding RNA from Hevea brasiliensis (rubber tree), 6657 nucleotides. RefSeq lists it as uncharacterized. The record is from RefSeq and is a predicted model, not a curated record. The transcript is spliced from 2 exons. Lineage: Eukaryota; Viridiplantae; Streptophyta; Magnoliopsida; Malpighiales; Euphorbiaceae.